This 473-nucleotide ribosomal RNA is filed under the name uncultured organism. RNAcentral describes it as "partial 16S ribosomal RNA". It matches the Rfam family "Bacterial small subunit ribosomal RNA", at positions 332 to 797 of the family's 1533-position model. The record is from RNAcentral.
UACACUCCUGCGGGAGGCAGCAGUGGGGAAUAUUGCACAAUGGGCGCAAGCCUGAUGCAGCCAUGCCGCGUGUAUGAAGAAGGCCUUCGGGUUGUAAAGUACUUUCAGCGGGGAGGAAGGCGAUAAGGUUAAUAACCUUGUCGAUUGACGUUACCCGCAGAAGAAGCACCGGCUAACUCCGUGCCAGCAGCCGCGGUAAUACGGAGGGUGCAAGCGUUAAUCGGAAUUACUGGGCGUAAAGCGCACGCAGGCGGUCUGUCAAGUCGGAUGUGAAAUCCCCGGGCUCAACCUGGGAACUGCAUUCGAAACUGGCAGGCUAGAGUCUUGUAGAGGGGGGUAGAAUUCCAGGUGUAGCGGUGAAAUGCGUAGAGAUCUGGAGGAAUACCGGUGGCGAAGGCGGCCCCCUGGACAAAGACUGACGCUCAGGUGCGAAAGCGUGGGGAGCAAACAGGAUUAGAUACCCGUGUAGUCCC